RNAcentral lists this ribosomal RNA (468 nucleotides) under uncultured bacterium. RNAcentral describes it as "partial 16S ribosomal RNA". It matches the Rfam family "Bacterial small subunit ribosomal RNA", at positions 28 to 507 of the family's 1533-position model. The record is from RNAcentral.
GACGAACGCUGGCGGCGUGCUUAACACAUGCAAGUCGAACGGAAAGGCCCUGCUUUUGUGGGGUGCUCGAGUGGCGAACGGGUGAGUAACACGUGAGUAACCUGCCCUUGACUUUGGGAUAACUUCAGGAAACUGGGGCUAAAACCGGAUAGGAGCUCCUGCUGCAUGGUGGGGGUUGGAAAGUUUCGGCGGUUGGGGAUGGACUCGCGGCUUAUCAGCUUGUUGGUGGGGUAGUGGCUUACCAAGGCUUUGACGGGUAGCCGGCCUGAGAGGGUUACCGGCCACAUUGGGACUGAGAUACGGCCCAGACUCCUACGGGAGGCAGCAGUGGGGAAUAUUGCACAAUGGGCGGAAGCCUGAUGCAGCAACGCCGCGUGCGGGAUGACGGCCUUCGGGUUGUAAACCGCUUUCGCCUGUGACGAAGCGUGAGUGACGGUAAUGGGUAAAGAAGCACCGGCUAACUACGUG